This 337-nucleotide unclassified non-coding RNA is filed under the name soil metagenome. RNAcentral describes it as "partial contains 5.8S ribosomal RNA, internal transcribed spacer 2, and large subunit ribosomal RNA". The stretch from base 1 to 120 matches the Rfam family "5.8S ribosomal RNA", at positions 35 to 154 of the family's 154-position model. The record is from RNAcentral.
GAUGAAGAACGCAGCGAAAUGCGAUAAGUAGUGUGAAUUGCAGAAUUCAGUGAAUCAUCGAAUCUUUGAACGCACAUUGCGCCCCUUGGUAUUCCAUGGGGCAUGCCUGUUCGAGCGUCAUUUGUACCUUCAAGCUCUGCUUGGUGUUGGGUGUUUGUCUCGCCUCUGCGUGUAGACUCGCCUCAAAACAAUUGGCAGCCGGCGUAUUGAUUUCGGAGCGCAGUACAUCUCGCGCUUUGCACUCAUAGCGACGACGUCCAAAAGUACAUUUUUACACUCUUGACCUCGGAUCAGGUAGGGAUACCCGCUGAACUUAAGCAUAUCAAUAAGCGGAGGA